Molecule: ribosomal RNA, 293 nt
Filed under: uncultured eukaryote
Lineage: Eukaryota
Description: partial 18S ribosomal RNA
Rfam family: Eukaryotic small subunit ribosomal RNA
Source: RNAcentral
GGUUGAUCCUGCCAGUAGUUAUAUGCUUGUCUCAAAGAUUAAGCCAUGCAUGUCUAAGUACACACUCUCGAAUAGUGAAACCGCAAAAGGCUCAGUAUAUCAGUUAUGAUUUAUUAGAUCGUAUACAUAGUUACAUGGAUAACUGUGGUAAUUCUAGAGCUAAUACAUGCAAAUAAUCACGGACCGCAAGGAACGUGUGCUUUUAUUAGAUUAAAAUCAAUCGAUACAUUAAGGUAUAUUUAUAUACUGUAUCGUUAAUAAGAUGAAUCUGAAUAACAUGUAGAUCGCAUGGU